Long non-coding RNA from Arvicola amphibius (Eurasian water vole), 2073 nucleotides. RefSeq lists it as uncharacterized. NCBI's taxonomy places the organism in Eukaryota, Metazoa, Chordata, Mammalia, Rodentia, Cricetidae. The transcript has 3 exons. The record is from RefSeq and is a predicted model, not a curated record.
CGCGCCCAGGCGUGGGCCUGUGCGCCCUCGGGGAGCACUGGGCUGCGGCGCGACACCCCACGCCGCGGCCUGCGGGUAAAGUGUGGUGGGGGGCUCCCAAGGCAGCGAGCGCCCAGACCGCCCCACUCCCUCCCUCAGCGCGAGCCCCGACCCGGGGAAGAAGGAAACCCACUUCCGCCGCGUCCACGAUCUCCCGCGGCUUCUCCUGACCCUUGCGGCUGGCGUUGACGCUGGGCAUCAGGACACUGGACUGGGGGAGUGGGUACCACCCUCCCUCGCUGGCUUCCGACGGCAGGAAAAAGGGCGUUUCCCUCCCGCACCGGCUCGCCCUCCCGGCCCCGGCUUGAAGCUCUCAGACACCGCGUGCGAGCUUGGCUUCGAAAUAUCGCGAGAGUUACCGUGGCGAUCUCGCGCGCCGCCGCUGGUUUCUCCCUCUGCCCCGCCCAUGGGCGCCAAGGGGCGUUCCCGAGGCCUGGAAAACUUGUCAAAUUAUCUGUGCAAGUUCAGGGCCUGAUCUCCACUUUUGGAUGUCACUGCCCCGUGGAGGCGUGUCCCUUGGGUCAGAGGACCUCUUGGCAAGCUGUCCUGCUGUCGGGGGCACGGCGUGCUGGGUUGCUAGGGCUGGCUGGAGAGUGAGUAUACAGUGGUAACCUACGCGUUUCCCCUGACUCUUUGCAUUGUUAAAGGUAGAGUAUCAUGUUGGUUGUUCAAUGGGUGGAUCUCCCCAAAUUAGACUUAAAAAAUGUAAUUGGUUUUUUUGAAGGACGGGUUUGGUGACACAGCCCUGCAAUUACAGCCCUCAGGAGACAGGGGCUGGAGAGUGAGGCCAGCUUUAUCUGCAUAGUGAUGGUUCAUGUUCUUGACUCUGAGCUGGAACCUAGGCUGAUCUGCCAUCUUGGUGCACGCCGACCAUCUUAAUGUAGUCUGCUCCUGUCUGCGCAAAACGGAAGAAUCUUCAUUCCUUAGGGAAUGAUAUUGAAUAUUUAUGAUCAAUAAUACAUCCCACAUUCUAUUCACUUGUUCCCAUAAGCAUGUAGUCAUAUAAUGCAAAACUUCAUUCACUCUAACUUUAAGUCCCCAUAGUCUAUUAAAGUCUCAAUGUUGUUUAAAAGUCCAAAGUCUCUUCAGAAAUUCAUGGCAAUCUCUUAACUGUAAUCCUCUCUAAAAUCAAAAUCAAAAAGCUGAUCACAUACUUCGAAUAUAGAGUGGCACAAGAUAUACUUUUGUCAUUCUGAAAGGGAGGGAAGGGAGCAUAAUAAGGAAAUGACCAAAGCAAGACUAAAAACCAGCAGGGAAAACUCUCAACUCUGCAUCUCUCUGAUGGCAAAAUACUUCUUCAGAUCUCCAACUGUGGUGGUUUGAGAGAAAAUGACCCCUAAAGUGAGUGGCACUAUUGGGAGAUAUGGCUUUGUUGAAGUGAGUAUGUCCUUAUUGGAGGAAGUAUGUUACUGUGGGGGCAGGGUUUGAGGUUUCCUAUGGUCAGGAUAUGGUGUAGUGUCUCAGUCAACUUCCUGUUGCCUGCAAGAUGAAGCACCCUUAACUACUUCACCAGUGUUGUGUCUGCCUGCACACUGCUAUGCUGCUUGCCACGAUGAUAAUAAUGGACUGAAACCACUAAAACUAAAACGAACAAAGUCCCAUAUGGCUCCCACUAUGAUGCAUCUGACCAGGACAGUAUCCCGGAGCCACUGCACAAAUGAAACACUGGAAGGCAGAUGAGAAACUCAUCAAAAGGAAACAUCCCAAGAGGAAGAGGAAGCAGAUAAUUUGAGAGACAUCAAGACUUAUAACUCAUCAAGCUGAGACACUGGGAGAUAAGGACACAAUUCUACUGACCCAAAAUGAUGCUGUUAUAUUUACUGACUAUAUUAAGUGCUAAUUUUCAGCUUGUUAGUAAAGAAUCCAAAUGUUUUUGUCCGUGGGGGAUAGAAGGCAUGCCUGUAGCAGGAGACAGGAUGAGGUUGUUUUGCCUAUGUUAAGCAUUGUUUUUAGGCUUUAUGGCAUCUUCUCACAGCAAGUGAAACCCUCACUAAGACAUAGUCAAUCCAUGGAACUCACCUUUAUGGAAGACAU